RNAcentral lists this ribosomal RNA (1413 nucleotides) under metagenome. RNAcentral describes it as "bacterial SSU rRNA". It matches the Rfam family "Bacterial small subunit ribosomal RNA". The record is from RNAcentral.
AUACAUGCAAGUCGAGCGAGACCCUUUCGGAGCUUACUUUGAAAGAUGAAAGCGGCGGACGGCUGAGUAACACGUUGGUAACCUGCCCUGAAGUAGAGGACAACUUCGAGAAAUCGGAGCUAAUACUCUAUAAUAAUGGGGGGACGAAAGUCAUUCCCAUUUAAAGAUUUAUCGCUUCAGGAGGGGCCUGCGGCGUAUCAGCUUGUUGGUGAGGUAAAAGCUCACCAAGGCUAUGACGCGUAGGGGGUGUGAGAGCAUGAUCCCCCAGAAUGGUACUGAGACACGGCCCAUACUCCUACGGGAGGCAGCAGUAAGGAAUCUUCCGCAAUGGACGAAAGUCUGACGGAGCGACACCGCGUGAAGGAUGAAGGCUUUAGGGUUGUAAACUUCUUUUCUGAGGGAAUAAAUCUGAAGUUACCUCAGGAAUAAGCACCGGCUGACUACGUGCCAGCGGCCGCGGUAAUACGUAGGGUGCGAGCGUUAUCCGGAAUCAUUGGGUGUAAAGCGUCCGCAGGCGGAAGAGCAAGUCCGAAGUAAAAUCUUGGAGCUCAACUCCAAAAGCGUUUCGGAAACUACUUUUCUAGAGGAAUGUAGGGGCAAGUGGAAUUCCCAAAGUAGGGGUUAAAUCCGUAGAUCUUGGGAGGAACACCAAAAGCGAAGGCAGCUUGCUGGGCAUUUCCUGACGCUCAUGGACGAAAGCGUGGGGAGCGAAACGGAUUAGAUACCCGUGUAGUCCACGCCGUAAACGAUGGAUACUUGGUGUGGGAGUAGUCUACCUCUUCCGUGCCGAAGCUAACGCGUUAAGUAUCCCGCCUGGGGAGUACGGUCGCAAGAUUAAAACUCAAAGGAAUAGACGGGGACCCACACAAGCGGUGGAGCAUCUGGUUUAAUUCGAUAAUAAGCGGGGAACCUUACCGGGGCUUGACAUCCUCUGACACCCUCCGAAAGGAGGUUUUCCUUCGGGACAGAGUGACAGGUGCUGCAUGGUUGUCGUCAGCUCGUGCCUUGAGGUGUGCGGUUAAGUCCGUGAACGAGCGCAACCCUCGCCAUUAGUUGUAUGUUUCUAAUGGGACUGCCGGUUUUACGCCGGAGGAAGGUGAGGAUGACGUCAAAUCAGCAUGGCCCUUACGCCCCGGGCGACACAGGUGCUACAAUGGCCGAUACAAAGGGUUGCCAACCCGCGAGGGGGAGCUAAUCCCAUCAAAGUCGGUCUAAGUUCGGAUUGGAGUCUGCAAUUCGACUCCACGAAGCCGGAAUCGCUAGUAAUUGUGCAUCAGCCAUGGCACAGUGAAUAUGUUCCUGGGUCUUGUACUCACCGCCCGUCAAGUCAUGAAAGGCAGGGGCGCCCGAAGUCCUUCUAUUAAUGGAGGCCCACGGUGAAACUGCUGAUUGGGACUAAGUCGUAACAAGGUA